RNAcentral lists this long non-coding RNA (382 nucleotides) under Populus tremula. RNAcentral describes it as "long non-coding RNA (PTRE_LNC002476)". Lineage: Eukaryota; Viridiplantae; Streptophyta; Magnoliopsida; Malpighiales; Salicaceae. The record is from RNAcentral.
UCCUCUAUCUAAUAAUAAGUAAACCACACAGCAGGAACACUAACGAUAUUCACUGAUAACAUAUUGGGUUCUAACAAAUGGGUCUUCAAUUUCAUCUCCAAAAUCAAUUCUUUUAAAACUGAAGCUUUCUUUUAGACAUUUUAUCGAACAAGUUGUGGACCACAAAUCCAGAAUACAAAAACGAAUGAUUAACAAGUUGUGAGCUAUUAUGUGGUAAAGAAACACUAAGACAUAACGAAAUUUACUGUAAGGAAACAGUUUAGGAUCUUGAAUGAAUGGAGAAGAAGAUUAAAGCGCGAAACCUAAACUAAAAUUGCUGUCGCUGUUGUUUGAAUUAUAUAGCCGUUGUUGUUUUGAUCUGGAUUUCUCAAACGACGGAAAU